CCUACGGGGGGCAGCAGUGGGGAAUAUUGGACAAUGGGCGAAAGCCUGAUCCAGCCAUGCCGCGUGUGUGAAGAAGGCCUUCGGGUUGUAAAGCACUUUCAGUGGGGAAGAAAGCCUUGGGGCUAAUACCCUCGAGGAAGGACAUCACCCACAGAAGAAGCACCGGCUAACUCCGUGCCAGCAGCCGCGGUAAUACGGAGGGUGCGAGCGUUAAUCGGAAUUACUGGGCGUAAAGCGCGCGUAGGCGGUCUGAUAAGCCGGUUGUGAAAGCCCCGGGCUCAACCUGGGAACGGCAUCCGGAACUGUCAGGCUAGAGUGCAGGAGAGGAAGGUAGAAUUCCAGGUGUAGCGGUGAAAUGCGUAGAGAUCGGGAGGAAUACCAGUGGCGAAGGCGGCCUUCUGGACUGACACUGACGCUGAGGUGCGAAAGCGUGGGUAGCAAACAGGAUUAGAUACCCGAGUAGUC
RNAcentral lists this ribosomal RNA (465 nucleotides) under Vreelandella stevensii. Its description in RNAcentral is "partial 16S ribosomal RNA". It matches the Rfam family "Bacterial small subunit ribosomal RNA", at positions 338 to 795 of the family's 1533-position model. The record is from RNAcentral. Lineage: Bacteria; Pseudomonadati; Pseudomonadota; Gammaproteobacteria; Oceanospirillales; Halomonadaceae.